UGGGGAAUCUUAGACAAUGGGGGAAACCCUGAUCUAGCCAUGCCGCGUGAGUGAUGAAGGCCCUAGGGUCGUAAAGCUCUUUCGCCAGGGAUGAUAAUGACAGUACCUGGUAAAGAAACCCCGGCUAACUCCGUGCCAGCAGCCGCGGUAAUACGGAGGGGGUUAGCGUUGUUCGGAAUUACUGGGCGUAAAGCGCACGUAGGCGGACUAUUAAGUGAGGGGUGAAAUCCCGGGGCUCAACCCCGGAACUGCCUCUCAUACUGGUAGUCUUGAGUUCGAGAGAGGUGAGUGGAAUUCCGAGUGUAGAGGUGAAAUUCGUAGAUAUUCGGAGGAACACCAGUGGCGAAGGCGGCUCACUGGCUCGAUACUGACGCUGAGGUGCGAAAGUGUGGGGAGCAAACAGGAUUAGAUACCCCCGUAGUCC
Molecule: ribosomal RNA, 424 nt
Filed under: uncultured prokaryote
Description: bacterial SSU rRNA
Rfam family: Bacterial small subunit ribosomal RNA
Source: RNAcentral